This 1410-nucleotide long non-coding RNA is filed under the name Anser brachyrhynchus (Pink-footed goose). RNAcentral describes it as "lncRNA (ENSABRG00000010082.1)". Lineage: Eukaryota; Metazoa; Chordata; Aves; Anseriformes; Anatidae. The record is from RNAcentral.
GCCCGCGGCGGGCGGGAGCCGAGGCGCUGCGGCGGCGGCGGGCGGGGGGGCUCCACGCGCCGCUUCGUGCCCCCCCCCCCAAUCCUCCUCCUCCUCUUCCUGCUCCCCUUUCUCCGCCGCCACCGGCCCGCGGCCCUGCACCAUCGGCAGGCCGGGCCGAGCCGUGCCGGGGCUCCGGGCACAGCCCCGAGCAGAGCCCGCAGCCCUGCCGCCGCGCCCCCGCCCGCCUGUCUGUUUUCCCUUUGUACUUUCCAUCCCGCUGUACCCCCCAUCUCCUCAUCCCAUAACGUUUUUUUUUUUUUUUUUUCCACAGGAAUAAUGUGUUAAUCAAUCUUUUACUUUUGUUUCCGGAUCUGACAUGGUGGCCCACACAAUCUACAACAUUAACAAAAAGGUCACUUAGAGAUAAAACACGUUUGACAAGUGAAGAACAAGGCAAGUGCUUUAGGGGUCGCGUCCAAUUCCUGACCUGGACUCCGACCAGAACAGGCGCUGAUCCUGGAAGGGGUGGGCGAGAGGAAGGACUUCCACUUUCUCGCCUUUAUAUCUGCUGAACCAAGUCCCUUUUCUUCCCUCGAAACACCGAUCUCCCCCAGCCCCUUAGCAGAUGGAUCAGAUAGCCUUUAAUGAUCUUCUCUCCUUACGAGGUAGACAUAAGGCACGUUUUCCUAGAUAUCCUCCCCACCCCCCCGUAAAGCGGUACCCUUUAAAUCCUGCAGCCAAAAAGUUCAUAUGCUCAAUGGAUGACAAAGUAAGGCUGCAGUAUGAGAGUGCGAAGAGUUUUUUUCCAGACCAGCUUCAUUCAGGUGUCCUACAUUAGUCAAGACUGUGAAGAAAUUCCAGAAUUUUUGGGAAGAAAAUAUGGACAUAUGGCAAAAAGGCUAGAUCUUAGCUUCAAUUUGUUGAGGUGUCUUCUCUCACUUGAUAUCAUGGUACCUGCCAACUGUAUGUUUCUACAGCACCUAAAUGUACCUUCGGCUUUUCUUUAAAUCAAUAGAACAGUUAACUGCUUUCAGUACAUCGUUGUAGAACUUGUUCUCAAAUAUGCAAGUUUAUUGCAAAUCCUUUGUACGUGGUGCAUCUGCUGUCCACUUGAUAUGUCAGAAGAAUUCAUGUUGAGGAAAAGUAUAUGCAUACUUGAAGAGUGGAGAGGGAUGAAAAUUAGUAUGUUGCUGUUCUCUCCUUGUUACAGCUGAUAGGUCUAAUACAAAAAAAGAAGUGCAUGCUACAGUCAUGAACUCUAAAAUAACAAGGCUCAGGAGUUUUUAUGUUGCAUAAGCAGACAAGUGAAGUGUAUUUUAUGUUCCUGUAGAGCAGAAAAGUAAAUACUGUGAUAUUUACUAUAGUUUCUCUGUGUUGAUAAGCCCUAUCAGUAAUAAAAGUCUCAAAGUUAAUUAAACUUAAUCUUUA